CACGCAUGACACACUGCAUAUCAAUAAGCGGAGGAAAAGAAACUAACAAGGAUUCCCCUAGUAACGGCGAGUGAAGCGGGAAGAGCUCAAAUUUGAAAUCUUAAAGGGUUUCCCUUUACGAAUUGUAGUUUAAAGAAGUGUUUUCUGUUGGAGUUUCGGUAAAAGUUCUUUGGAAUAGGACAUCAUAGAGGGUGAGAAUCCCGUAUUUGACCGUUACUUUCCAGCUGUGUGAUACACUUUCAAAGAGUCGGAUUGUUUGGGAAUGCAGUCCAAGAUGGGUGGUAAAUUUCAUCUAAAGCUAAAUAUUGGCGAGAGACCGAUAGCGAACAAGUACCGUGAGGGAAAGAUGAAAAGAACUUUGAAAAGAGAGUUAAACAGUACGUGAAAUUGUCAAAAGGGAAGCGUUUGACACCAGUGUUGUUUAGUUGAAAAUCAAUUAAAUAGUUUUUGAUUUUAAGUAGUAUUGACUUCAUCAGCUUGCUGCUUUCUUUCUAGAAAUUAUUGAAUGCACUUUUCAGUUAACAAGUCAACAUCGAUUUCUUUUGUUGUAAAAGGGUAAGAGGAAGGUGGCUUGCGCUUCGGCUCAAGUGUUUAUAGCCUUUUGCCUCUGCAGUCGGAGAGAUUGAGGUCCGCAGCGUAGAUCCUUCGGGGUUAGAUACAUUUGUGCUAAGCUAUAGCCUUGUAUAGACAACUUGUUGACUAUGCUCAGUCAUGUAGCUUACUCGCUUAUGCUAUUUUACCUACGCUUAGGAUGUUGAUCUACAGAGCGAGAGU
Molecule: ribosomal RNA, 774 nt
Filed under: uncultured Neocallimastigales
Lineage: Eukaryota; Fungi; Neocallimastigomycota; Neocallimastigomycetes; Neocallimastigales
Description: partial large subunit ribosomal RNA
Rfam family: Eukaryotic large subunit ribosomal RNA
Source: RNAcentral